RNAcentral lists this ribosomal RNA (561 nucleotides) under Triticum aestivum (bread wheat). RNAcentral describes it as "partial small subunit ribosomal RNA". Lineage: Eukaryota; Viridiplantae; Streptophyta; Magnoliopsida; Poales; Poaceae. The record is from RNAcentral.
AUGGCCAUGGUGGAUUGGUGGUGGCGAGUGGAGAUGGUCACCGAGCUCCCCAUGUCAAUGUCCUCUCUACUCUUCUUAUCUUCUUUGCUCACCUUGCCUGGCAUGCUCAUGGCAGCCUCUCGGCUAGAUCUGCAGGCCAAAAGUGAUACUUCAAUUCUGUUUAAAGAGCUUUGCUCAUUAUGCGCCUCCCUGCAAUUGUAUGAGGUGCCAUUUAAUUUGGCCCCUGUAGAGCCUCAGCCUGCCCAGUGCUUUUAUGAGCAGAGCUGGCAACCUCCCUGUUGUACAUGCAUGGCCGGCCACAGCUACUCACAUUCCAUGUGCAUGUGCUUGUGCUCUGCCAAUCGUAGCAAUGCUGUUUUUUCUUUUUCUUUUCUUGAUCGGUUCUUUCUAGAGAAGAUGAGCUCACUGGCAUUGUUAGGAAACAAGCCAAGUCGUUUGAUUACUGUUUUUUUAACUUUAGGGUUUCAACUGCCGUUUGGGCAUGGUUUGUUUCAUUGUAAAUGGGUUGCAGUUGCGCUGAUGCCAGCAAGAGGCAUUUUAUUCCUUGGUGCCUAUAAUUGA